UGCCGGAGUGGUGGAACUGGUAGACGCGCUGGCUUCAGGAGCCAGUGAGCGCAAGCUCGUGUGGGUUCGAGUCCCACCUUCGGCAU
Molecule: transfer RNA, 86 nt
Filed under: compost metagenome
Description: tRNA-Ser
Rfam family: tRNA
About the family: Transfer RNA (tRNA) molecules are approximately 80 nucleotides in length.
Source: RNAcentral